RNAcentral lists this ribosomal RNA (465 nucleotides) under Vreelandella stevensii. Its description in RNAcentral is "partial 16S ribosomal RNA". It matches the Rfam family "Bacterial small subunit ribosomal RNA", at positions 338 to 795 of the family's 1533-position model. Lineage: Bacteria; Pseudomonadati; Pseudomonadota; Gammaproteobacteria; Oceanospirillales; Halomonadaceae. The record is from RNAcentral.
CCUACGGGGGGCAGCAGUGGGGAAUAUUGGACAAUGGGGGCAACCCUGAUCCAGCCAUGCCGCGUGUGUGAAGAAGGCCCGCGGGUUGUAAAGCACUUUCAGUGAGGAAGAACGCCUGGUGGUUAAUACCCAUCAGGAAAGACAUCACUCACAGAAGAAGCACCGGCUAACUCCGUGCCAGCAGCCGCGGUAAUACGGAGGGUGCGAGCGUUAAUCGGAAUUACUGGGCGUAAAGCGCGCGUAGGUGGCUUGAUAAGCCGGUUGUGAAAGCCCCGGGCUCAACCUGGGAACGGCAUCCGGAACUGUCAAGCUAGAGUGCAGGAGAGGAAGGUAGAAUUCCCGGUGUAGCGGUGAAAUGCGUAGAGAUCGGGAGGAAUACCAGUGGCGAAGGCGGCCUUCUGGACUGACACUGACACUGAGGUGCGAAAGCGUGGGUAGCAAACAGGAUUAGAUACCCUAGUAGUC